CAUUCGGACCACCUCUCGGUCACAUCAACACCAUACUUUAUAAUCUCCAUUCGAGUGCUCAAUCACAGAGCCAGAUGAAUGCUCUCGAGCGUCUUUUUCGCCAAGGUGACGUAACAAUUACCGAUCACGAUAAUCUCUAGCAGUACACUUAGUCACAGAGCCUCAUUAAUGCUCUCGGGCGCUGCUUCCGCCAAGGUGACGUGUAUAAUGGACAGCACUCGUGCGUUCUUUAAGGCGCCGUUUUCACCAAUGAUAAUCUUCAUCACCGAACCACGUAUGUCCAUACUGUUGCAUGUAAUAGACGGCACUCGUGCGUUCUUUAAGGCGCUGUUUUCACCAGUGAUAUCCUUUAAUCACCGAACCACGU
This 367-nucleotide long non-coding RNA is filed under the name Eucalyptus grandis. RNAcentral describes it as "long non-coding RNA (EGRA_LNC005336)". Lineage: Eukaryota; Viridiplantae; Streptophyta; Magnoliopsida; Myrtales; Myrtaceae. The record is from RNAcentral.